AGCAUACAGAUUUGUAUGGAGUUCGAACGUUUGCUUACGUUUGCUGCUAGGGGCGCUAUUCCAACUGCAUACAGAUUCGAGUUA
This is a non-coding RNA of Bombyx mori (domestic silkworm), 84 nucleotides long. The record is from Rfam. NCBI's taxonomy places the organism in Eukaryota, Metazoa, Arthropoda, Insecta, Lepidoptera, Bombycidae.